RNAcentral lists this ribosomal RNA (811 nucleotides) under uncultured Actinomycetes bacterium. RNAcentral describes it as "bacterial SSU rRNA". It matches the Rfam family "Bacterial small subunit ribosomal RNA", at positions 72 to 896 of the family's 1533-position model. The record is from RNAcentral. Lineage: Bacteria; Bacillati; Actinomycetota; Actinomycetes.
CCUGCAGCUUGCUGCGGGUACUCGAGUGGCGAACGGGUGAGUAACACGUGGGUGAUCUGCCUUGCACUUCGGGAUAAGCUUGGGAAACUGGGUCUAAUACCGGAUAGGACAGCUGUUUAGUGUCAGUUGUGGAAAGUUUUUUCGGUGCAAGAUGAGCUCGCGGCCUAUCAGCUUGUUGGUGGGGUAAUGGCCUACCAAGGCGUCGACGGGUAGCCGGCCUGAGAGGGUGUACGGCCACAUUGGGACUGAGAUACGGCCCAGACUCCUACGGGAGGCAGCAGUGGGGAAUAUUGCACAAUGGGCGGAAGCCUGAUGCAGCGACGCCGCGUGGGGGAUGAAGGCCUUCGGGUUGUAAACUCCUUUCGACAGGGACGAAGCGUAAGUGACGGUACCUGUAUAAGAAGCACCGGCUAACUACGUGCCAGCAGCCGCGGUAAUACGUAGGGUGCGAGCGUUGUCCGGAAUUACUGGGCGUAAAGAGCUCGUAGGUGGUUUGUCGCGUCGUCUGUGAAAUUCCGGGGCUUAACUCCGGGCGUGCAGGCGAUACGGGCUGACUUGAGUGCUGUAGGGGAGACUGGAAUUCCUGGUGUAGCGGUGAAAUGCGCAGAUAUCAGGAGGAACACCGAUGGCGAAGGCAGGUCUCUGGGCAGUAACUGACGCUGAGGAGCGAAAGCAUGGGUAGCGAACAGGAUUAGAUACCCUGGUAGUCCAUGCCGUAAACGGUGGGCGCUAGGUGUAGGGGGCUUCCACGUCUUCUGUGCCGUAGCUAACGCAUUAAGCGCCCCGCCUGGGGAGUACGGCCGCAAGGCUA